GAGAUUGUGGCUCAGUGGUAGAGCACUCACCUAGCACGUGCAAGAUGCUGGGUUCAAUCCUCAGCAUCACA
RNAcentral lists this transfer RNA (71 nucleotides) under Marmota monax (woodchuck). RNAcentral describes it as "tRNA.Ala". The record is from RNAcentral. Lineage: Eukaryota; Metazoa; Chordata; Mammalia; Rodentia; Sciuridae.